UUUCUCUUCAUUCUUUUCUUUCUCUUGUUUCUUUCUCUUUAUCAAGUUUCAGAAUAAUCAGUUCCUGUCUUAAUCUCUGAAAGUGUCCAGUGAGGCUUUUUAUUAACUCUUGGGUUGUCAUACAUUGGAUGUGUUUUAGUCAUUUAUUGGCAUUCUUCUCAGUCUUCGAAUUAUUCCAUCAUUGUCCAGAGGAAGCCCCUUUAAGAGGCCUCUGUGGCUAUGACAUGACCCAGUGGCCCAGUGGCCUUUGAGAGCCUCCUGACCUUUCAGCACAUUUCCUGCCCCCAACUCAGAAUCCACCAUUUCUCUAAGAAACUCUGCUUCCUUUAUGGGAAACUUUUUUUUUUUUUUUUGAGAUGGAGUCUCACUCUGUUGCCCAGGCUGGAGUGCAAUGGCGUGAUCGCAGCUUACUGCAAGCUCCGCCUCCCAGGUUCACGCCAUUCUCCUGCCUCAGCCUCCUGAGUAGCUGGGAUUACAGGCGCCCACCACCACGCCCAGCUAAUUUUUGUAUUUUUAGUAGAGACGGGGUUUCACCAUAUUGGCCAGGCUGAUCUUGAACUCCUGACCUCGUGAGCCACCGCGCCCGGCCAGAAGCAUUUUUUAGAGAAUACAAUCUAUGUUCCUAGGAGUGUUUAUUGUUAUUGGGUUGUCGCUGCUUCUAGGACUUUUGAGUGGGCAGACUUAGGAAAUUUUUGUUCGUUUUUUCUUUUAAGAGACAGGGUCUUGCUAUGUCACCCAGGCUGAAGUACAGUAGCAGUUCACAGACAGUCAUAGCUCUCUGCAGCCUCGAAAUCCUGGGCUCAAGCAACCCUCCCAUCUCAGUCACAUGAGUAGCUGGGACUACAGGCGUGCACCUCCACGACCAGCUCCCGGCUGUAUUUUUUGGAAAGAGAACAAUUACUUUAUUUUCUCUCUGGCAUCAGAUGGUAGACGCUACUAGUCCCAUUUUUGUUUGUUUGUUUUUUGAGAUGGAGUCUUGCUCUGUCGCCCAGGCUGGAGUGCAGUGGCACGAUCUUGGCUCACUGCAAGCUCCGCCUCCCGGGUUCACGCCAUUCUGCCUCAGCCUCCCUAGUAGCUGGGACUACAGGCGCCUGCCACCACGCCCAGCUAAUUUUUUCUAUUUUUUAGUAGAGACAGGGUUUCACCGUGUUGGCCACAAUGGUCUCCAUCUCCUGACCUCGUGAUCCGCCCGCCUCGGCCUCCCAGAGUGCUGGGAUUACAGGCAUGAGCCACCGCGCCCGACCCUACUAGUCCCAUUUUUUAGAUGAAGAAACUGUGACCCAGAGACGUUAAGUGACUUACCCAGGGUCCCACAGCUUGUGAAUGGUGGAGCUGGGAUUCACACACACAGCCAAUCUUGACCAUUUGCUGCUUUGGUGAGCAGGGCCAGCUGCCCCCACCCUCACUCCCUUCCCACCCACAGGACAGUGGGGGGUGGACGCCCAUCAUCUGGGCUGCAGAGCACAAGCACAUCGAGGUGAUCCGCAUGCUACUGACGCGGGGCGCCGACGUCACCCUCACUGACAAUGAGGAGAACAUCUGCCUGCACUGGGCCUCCUUCACGGGCAGCGCCGCCAUCGCCGAAGUCCUUCUGAAUGCGCGCUGUGACCUCCAUGCUGUCAACUACCAUGGGGACACCCCCCUGCACAUCGCAGCUCGGGAGAGCUACCAUGACUGCGUGCUGUUAUUCCUGUCACGUGGGGCCAACCCUGAGCUGCGGAACAAAGAGGGGGACACAGCAUGGGACCUGACUCCCGAGCGCUCCGACGUGUGGUUUGCGCUUCAACUCAACCGCAAGCUCCGACUUGGGGUGGGAAAUCGGGCCAUCCGCACAGAGAAGAUCAUCUGCCGGGACGUGGCUCGGGGCUAUGAGAACGUGCCCAUUCCCUGUGUCAACGGUGUGGAUGGGGAGCCCUGCCCUGAGGAUUACAAGUACAUCUCGGAGAACUGCGAGACGUCCACCAUGAACAUCGAUCGCAACAUCACUCACCUGCAGCACUGCACGUGUGUGGACGACUGCUCUAGCUCCAACUGCCUGUGCGGCCAGCUCAGCAUCCGGUGCUGGUAUGACAAGGAUGGGCGAUUGCUCCAGGAAUUUAACAAGAUUGAGCCCCCGCUGAUUUUCGAGUGUAACCAGGCGUGCUCAUGCUGGAGAAACUGCAAGAACCGGGUCGUACAGAGUGGCAUCAAGGUGCGGCUACAGCUCUACCGAACAGCCAAGAUGGGCUGGGGGGUCCGCGCCCUGCAGACCAUCCCACAGGGGACCUUCAUCUGCGAAUAUGUCGGGGAGCUGAUCUCUGAUGCUGAGGCUGAUGUGAGAGAGGAUGAUUCUUACCUCUUCGACUUAGACAACAAGGAUGGAGAGGUGUACUGCAUUGAUGCCCGUUACUAUGGCAACAUCAGCCGCUUCAUCAACCACCUGUGUGACCCCAACAUCAUUCCCGUCCGGGUCUUCAUGCUGCACCAAGACCUGCGAUUUCCACGCAUCGCCUUCUUCAGUUCCCGAGACAUCCGGACUGGGGAGGAGCUAGGGUUUGACUAUGGUGACCGCUUCUGGGACAUCAAAAGCAAAUAUUUCACCUGCCAAUGUGGCUCUGAGAAGUGCAAGCACUCAGCCGAAGCCAUUGCCCUGGAGCAGAGCCGUCUGGCCCGCCUGGACCCACACCCUGAGCUGCUGCCCGAGCUCAGCUCCCUGCCCCCUGUCAACACAUGAGAACGGACCACACCCUCUCUCCCCAGCAUGGAUGGCCACAGCUCAGCCGCCUCCUCUGCCACCAGCUGCUCGCAGCCCAUGCCUGGGGGUGCUGCCAUCUUCUCUCCCCACCACCCUUUCACACAUUCCUGACCAGAGAUCCCAGCCAGGCCCUGGAGGUCUGACAGCCCCUCCCUCCCAGAGCUGGUUCCUCCCUGGGAGGGCAACUUCAGGGCUGGCCACCCCCGUGUUCCCCAUCCUCAGUUGAAGCUUGAUGAAUUGAAGUCGGGCCUCUAUGCCAACUGGUUCCUUUUGUUCUCAAUAAAUGUUGGGUUUGGUAAUAAA
RNAcentral lists this small RNA (3037 nucleotides) under Pan troglodytes (chimpanzee). RNAcentral describes it as "retained intron". The record is from RNAcentral. Lineage: Eukaryota; Metazoa; Chordata; Mammalia; Primates; Hominidae.